AUUGAGAGUUUGAUCCUGGCUCAGGACGAACGCUGGCGGCGUGCCUAACACAUGCAAGUCGAGCGAUGAAGUUUCCUUCGGGAAACGGAUUAGCGGCGGACGGGUGAGUAACACGUGGG
Molecule: ribosomal RNA, 119 nt
Filed under: Clostridium neonatale
Lineage: Bacteria; Bacillati; Bacillota; Clostridia; Eubacteriales; Clostridiaceae
Description: partial 16S ribosomal RNA
Rfam family: Bacterial small subunit ribosomal RNA
Source: RNAcentral